This is a long non-coding RNA of Nanorana parkeri, 379 nucleotides long. RefSeq lists it as uncharacterized. The transcript has 3 exons. NCBI's taxonomy places the organism in Eukaryota, Metazoa, Chordata, Amphibia, Anura, Dicroglossidae. The record is from RefSeq and is a predicted model, not a curated record.
GCCAGGAAGAUAUAGAAGAGGCUGUUUCCUCAUGUCCAGAUUAUACCUCUGCUCUCCAGUAUCUGUCACAUGAAUGCCCUCUAUGCUGUGACCAAUAUUCGUAUUCCAAGUUUGUGAAGAUGACACACUGCAAUUGUUCUUUAUGUGAGCAGUGCUUCAUUUGUCAUUUCUCUUCUGUCAUCAAAGAGAAGAGUAUUAUACAUGUGGUGUGCCCCCUCUGCAAAAAACCAGACCUGGAGAAAAGUGGGAAUUCUGAGGAAUCUAUGGAGUACUUCAACUUGCUGGACACCCAGAUCCAUCACUAUCUUGACCAGACAACCCAUGAUUUAUUUCAAAGAAAGCUAAGAGAUAGAGCAUUGAUGGAGAUGCCUGAAUUCAG